GCAAGUCGAGCGCUACCUUCGGGUGGAGCGGCGGACGGGUUAGUAACGCGUGGGAACGUACCCUUUUCUGCGGAAUAGCCACUGGAAACGGUGAGUAAUACCGCAUACGCCCUUCGGGGGAAAGAUUUAUCGGAGAAGGAUCGGCCCGCGUUAGAUUAGAUAGUUGGUGGGGUAACGGCCUACCAAGUCUACGAUCUAUAGCUGGUUUUAGAGGAUGAUC
Molecule: ribosomal RNA, 220 nt
Filed under: uncultured bacterium
Lineage: Bacteria
Description: partial 16S ribosomal RNA
Rfam family: Bacterial small subunit ribosomal RNA
Source: RNAcentral